RNAcentral lists this ribosomal RNA (447 nucleotides) under uncultured bacterium. RNAcentral's name for it is "partial 16S ribosomal RNA". It matches the Rfam family "Bacterial small subunit ribosomal RNA", at positions 29 to 523 of the family's 1533-position model. The record is from RNAcentral.
AACAAACGCUGGCGGCAGGCUUAACACAUGCAAGUCGAACGCCCCGCAAGGGGAGUGGCAGACGGGUGAGUAACGCGUGGGAAUCUACCCAUCCCUACGGAACAACUCCGGGCAACUGGAGCUGAUACUGUAUAAGCCCUACGGGGGAAAGAUUUAUCGGGGAUGGAUGAGCCCGCGUUGGAUUAGCUAGUUGGUGGGGUAAAGGCCUACCAAGGCGACGAUCCAUAGCUGGUCUGAGAGGAUGAUCAGCCACAUUGGGACUGAGACACGGCCCAAACUCCUACGGGAGGCAGCAGUGGGGAAUAUUGGACAAUGGGCGCAAGCCUGAUCCAGCCAUGCCGCGUGAGUGAUGAAGGUCCUAGGAUUGUAAAGCUCUUUCACCGAUGAAGAUAAUGCCGGUAGUCGGAGAAGAAGCCCCGGCUAACUUCGUGCCAGCCGCCGCUGUAA